GGGAAACCGAGUCUUAACCGGGCGUUAAGUUGCAGGGUAUAGACCCGAAACCCGGUGAUCUAGCCAUGGGCAGGUUGAAGGUUGGGUAACACUAACUGGAGGACCGAACCGACUAAUGUUGAAAAAUUAGCGGAUGACCUGUGGCUGGGGGUGAAAGGCCAAUCAAACCGGGAGAUAGCUGGUUCUCCCCGAAAGCUAUUUAGGUAGCGCCUCGUGAAUUCAUCUCCGGGGGUAGAGCACUGUUUCGGCUAGGGGGCCAUCCCGGCUUACCAACCCGAUGCAAACUGCGAAUACCGGAGAAUGUUAUCACGGGAGACACACGGCGGGUGCUAACGUCCGUCGUGAAGAGGGAAACAACCCAGACCGCCAGCUAAGGUCCCAAAGUCAUGGUUAAGUGGGAAACGAUGUGGGAAGGCCCAGACAGCCAGGAUGUUGGCUUAGAAGCAGCCAUCAUUUAAAGAAAGCGUAAUAGCUCACUGGUCGAGUCGGCCUGCGCGGAAGAUGUAACGGGGCUAAACCAUGCACCGAAGCUGCGGCAGCGACACUGUGUGUUGUUGGGUAGGGGAGCGUUCUGUAAGCCUGUGAAGGUGUGUCGUGAGGCAUGCUGGAGGUAUCAGAAGUGCGAAUGCUGACAUAAGUAACGAUAAAGCGGGUGAAAAGCCCGCUCGCCGGAAGACCAAGGGUUCCUGUCCAACGUUAAUCGGGGCAGGGUGAGUCGACCCCUAAGGCGAGGCCGAAAGGCGUAGUCGAUGGGAAACGGGUUAAUAUUCCCGUACUUGGUGUUACUGCGAAGGGGGGACGGAGAAGGCUAUGUUGGCCGGGCGACGGUUGUCCCGGUUUAAGCGUGUAGGUGUGUGUUCCAGGUAAAUCCGGUUCACUUUAACACUGAGGCGUGACGACGAGGCACUACGGUGCUGAAGCAACAAAUGCCCUGCUUCCAGGAAAAGCCUCUAAGCAUCAGGUAACAUCAAAUCGUACCCCAAACCGACACAGGUGGUCAGGUAGAGAAUACCAAGGCGCUUGAGAGAACUCGGGUGAAGGAACUAGGCAAAAUGGUGCCGUAACUUCGGGAGAAGGCACGCUGACACGUAGGUGAAGUGAUUUACUCAUGGAGCUGAAGUCAGUCGAAGAUACCAGCUGGCUGCAACUGUUUAUUAAAAACACAGCACUGUGCAAACACGAAAGUGGACGUAUACGGUGUGACGCCUGCCCGGUGCCGGAAGGUUAAUUGAUGGGGUCAGCGCAAGCGAAGCUCCUGAUCGAAGCCCCGGUAAACGGCGGCCGUAACUAUAACGGUCCUAAGGUAGCGAAAUUCCUUGUCGGGUAAGUUCCGACCUGCACGAAUGGCGUAAUGAUGGCCAGGCUGUCUCCACCCGAGACUCAGUGAAAUUGAACUCGCUGUGAAGAUGCAGUGUACCCGCGGCAAGACGGAAAGACCCCGUGAACCUUUACUAUAGCUUGACACUGAACAUUGAGCCUUGAUGUGUAGGAUAGGUGGGAGGCUUUGAAGUGUGGACGCCAGUCUGCAUGGAGCCGACCUUGAAAUACCACCCUUUAAUGUUUGAUGUUCUAACGUGGACCCGUUACCCGGGUUGCGGACAGUGUCUGGUGGGUAGUUUGACUGGGGCGGUCUCCUCCUAAAGAGUAACGGAGGAGCACGAAGGUUGGCUAAUCCUGGUCGGACAUCAGGAGGUUAGUGCAAUGGCAUAAGCCAGCUUGACUGCGAGCGUGACGGCGCGAGCAGGUGCGAAAGCAGGUCAUAGUGAUCCGGUGGUUCUGAAUGGAAGGGCCAUCGCUCAACGGAUAAAAGGUACUCCGGGGAUAACAGGCUGAUACCGCCCAAGAGUUCAUAUCGACGGCGGUGUUUGGCACCUCGAUGUCGGCUCAUCACAUCCUGGGGCUGAAGUAGGUCCCAAGGGUAUGGCUGUUCGCCAUUUAAAGUGGUACGCGAGCUGGGUUUAGAACGUCGUGAGACAGUUCGGUCCCUAUCUGCCGUGGGCGCUGGAGAACUGAGGGGGGCUGCUCCUAGUACGAGAGGACCGGAGUGGACGCAUCACUGGUGUUCGGGUUGUCAUGCCAAUGGCACUGCCCGGUAGCUAAAUGCGGAAGAGAUAAGUGCUGAAAGCAUCUAAGCACGAAACUUGCCCCGA
Molecule: ribosomal RNA, 2150 nt
Filed under: Salmonella enterica subsp. enterica serovar Enteritidis
Lineage: Bacteria; Pseudomonadati; Pseudomonadota; Gammaproteobacteria; Enterobacterales; Enterobacteriaceae
Description: partial 23S ribosomal RNA
Rfam family: Bacterial large subunit ribosomal RNA
Source: RNAcentral